RNAcentral lists this transfer RNA (91 nucleotides) under Clostridia bacterium. RNAcentral describes it as "tRNA-Ser". It matches the Rfam family "tRNA". From Rfam's summary of the family: Transfer RNA (tRNA) molecules are approximately 80 nucleotides in length. Their secondary structure includes four short double-helical elements and three loops (D, anti-codon, and T loops). Further hydrogen bonds mediate the characteristic L-shaped molecular structure. tRNAs have two regions of fundamental functional importance: the anti-codon, which is responsible for specific mRNA codon recognition, and the 3' end, to which the tRNAs corresponding amino acid is attached (by aminoacyl-tRNA synthetases). tRNAs cope with the degeneracy of the genetic code in two manners: having more than one tRNA (with a specific anti-codon) for a particular amino acid; and 'wobble' base-pairing, i.e. permitting non-standard base-pairing at the 3rd anti-codon position. Lineage: Bacteria; Bacillati; Bacillota; Clostridia. The record is from RNAcentral.
GGAGGUAUAUCGAAGUGGUCAUAACGAGGCUGUCUUGAAAACAGUUUGGGUGUGAAAGCCCACGGGGGUUCGAAUCCCUCUACCUCCGCCA